RNAcentral lists this ribosomal RNA (436 nucleotides) under Bacillus sp. DJ-E5. RNAcentral describes it as "bacterial SSU rRNA". It matches the Rfam family "Bacterial small subunit ribosomal RNA", at positions 24 to 450 of the family's 1533-position model. The record is from RNAcentral. Lineage: Bacteria; Bacillati; Bacillota; Bacilli; Caryophanales; Bacillaceae.
UCAGGACGAACGCUGGCGGCGUGCCUAAUACAUGCAAGUCGAGCGGACAGAUGGGAGCUUGCUCCCUGAUGUUAGCGGCGGACGGGUGAGUAACACGUGGGUAACCUGCCUGUAAGACUGGGAUAACUCCGGGAAACCGGGGCUAAUACCGGAUGGUUGUUUGAACCGCAUGGUUCAAACAUAAAAGGUGGCUUCGGCUACCACUUACAGAUGGACCCGCGGCGCAUUAGCUAGUUGGUGAGGUAACGGCUCACCAAGGCAACGAUGCGUAGCCGACCUGAGAGGGUGAUCGGCCACACUGGGACUGAGACACGGCCCAGACUCCUACGGGAGGCAGCAGUAGGGAAUCUUCCGCAAUGGACGAAAGUCUGACGGAGCAACGCCGCGUGAGUGAUGAAGGUUUUCGGAUCGUAAAGCUCUGUUGUUAGGGAAGAAC